GUAUCUCUAUUGUUGAAGUACUGUGACUGUCUUCAGUCUUCAGUCUUAAUUUUGAAGAAAGAAUUAAAACUGGUCACAUUCACCCCCCCCCAUCUGUGACAUACUCGAUCUUUCAGAGAGUGCUUUUGGAAAGUGUUUCAGAAUAAGUAAGGAGAUCGAAUUUUGUUUAGAGAUCAAGUUGUUAGGAAAGCUGUGAAAAAAAAGAAAGAAAAAAAAAGUAAGAAAAAAAAAGGAAAGAGAGAGAGAGAGAGAAUAAAUUUCGGAUCCUUCCCCGAGGAGAAUUUUAGUUCCGAGUGUGUUUGAUCCGUGUUCAGUAAAACGGGCAUAUCUUUUGCAUACCAACUUGGAUUUGGACGUUCUUGGACUUUUUGGAAAGCUCACGACGAGGUGCGUCAAGAACUAUCCAGGGCUUAGCCCUGCACUUUGACCCUCAAAUUCGGCUUCUAAGGUGGACUUUUGGAGCUUCCAACUUUCUGCAUCCGUUUUCCCGCGUCGCUGUAGCCCGGUAUUUUUCAGUUUUCUCCACCGUCCGACAUCCGUUUUGAGUGAUCUUGCCCUUGCUGGAAAGUUUGUGUCGAUACGCUUCUAACCCAUAUAUUUCCAUAUUUUCCUGAAUUUUCCUUACUGCAGCCUUUGCUGUUCUUCAAUAGACCGACGUACAGUUUUCCGGUCCUUCUUUUGCAUCAGUUUCUGGGGUUGAAAUAAAGAAAAAAGAAGAAGAAAAUAAUAAGAAGCCAAACAAAAGGCCACAAAAAGAAAAGAAAAAAAAUCCCAGAGAUUUACUUGUUAUGCCAUCUUUUGAUCUAUCUAUUCCUACCUUUUCAGUAUCUAGGCUUAGAUUAUUUCUGUAAUUCGUUCUUAUCGACUCCGGC
This 872-nucleotide long non-coding RNA is filed under the name Brachypodium distachyon (stiff brome). Its description in RNAcentral is "long non-coding RNA (BDIS_LNC002226)". Lineage: Eukaryota; Viridiplantae; Streptophyta; Magnoliopsida; Poales; Poaceae. The record is from RNAcentral.